CAAAUGAAUUGACGGGGCCCGCACAAGCGGAGGAACAUGUGGUUUAAUUCGAUGAUACGCGAGGAACCUUACCUGGGCUUAAAUGUAGAGUGCAUGAUGUGGAAACAUGUCUUCCCUUCGGGGCUCUCUGCAAGGUGCUGCAUGGUUGUCGUCAGCUCGUGCCGUGAGGUGUCGGGUUAAGUCCCAUAACGAGCGCAACCCUUAUCGUUAGUUGCCAGCGGGUAAUGCCGGGAACUCUAACGAAACUGCCGGUGUAAACCGAGAGGAAGGUGGGGAUGACGUCAAAUCAGCACGGCCCUUAUGUCCAGGGCUACACACGUGUUACAAUGGCCGGUACAGAGGGCAGCUACCGGGUGACCGGAUGCUAAUCUCUAAAGCUGGUCUCAGUUCGGAUCGAAGCCUGCAACCCGACUUCGUGAAGCUGGAUUCGCUAGUAAUCGCGCAUCAGCCAUGGCGCGGUGAAUACGUUCCCGGGUCUU
This 479-nucleotide ribosomal RNA is filed under the name uncultured Sphingobacteriales bacterium. RNAcentral describes it as "bacterial SSU rRNA". It matches the Rfam family "Bacterial small subunit ribosomal RNA", at positions 902 to 1382 of the family's 1533-position model. The record is from RNAcentral. Lineage: Bacteria; Pseudomonadati; Bacteroidota; Sphingobacteriia; Sphingobacteriales.